Long non-coding RNA from Leopardus geoffroyi (Geoffroy's cat), 421 nucleotides. RefSeq lists it as uncharacterized. The record is from RefSeq and is a predicted model, not a curated record. NCBI's taxonomy places the organism in Eukaryota, Metazoa, Chordata, Mammalia, Carnivora, Felidae. The transcript is spliced from 2 exons.
UGACAUGUUAAAGACUCAGGAGAGUUGUAGUUGCAGUCCAAAGGCAGCCUUCUGGCAAGCCAGGAAGAACUCGUGUUGCAGAUGAUGUAUUCAGUCUGCUGGAGAAUUUCCUCUUGCUUGGGUGGGACGUGGAGCAAGGCACUGCCUUCAAGGAGUUCUCAAGGGCUUGAACCAAGAGUUUCACGAAGGAUAUGAAUACAAUUCUGGAAGAAAAUUACAUGAUGAUUUUAUUAUUGUUGUGGUUGCGUGGAAUAGGACAUUAUCUAUGAUAUUUGCUUGGAAUGGCAUUAGAAAAUUAGCCUUGUCCUAAGAUGCUUUCACCUGAUUUCUAAAUCAGAAUUUCUAAAUUUAAUUGUAAGAAAAUUGUAUCUUAAGUCAUGUUACAUAUUCUCCUGAAGAAUAAAAACAUACAUGAACAGAA